Molecule: non-coding RNA, 94 nt
Organism: Musa acuminata subsp. malaccensis (wild Malaysian banana)
Lineage: Eukaryota; Viridiplantae; Streptophyta; Magnoliopsida; Zingiberales; Musaceae
Source: Rfam
AUUUGAUCAGUGAUGUGAUUUGUACAUAAUCUGCGUUAUCUUUCUGCAACUCCUUUCAAGGAAUUGAAGAUGACUGUGAUACACUGAGAUUAAU